UACGGAGGGUGCGAGCGUUGUCCGGAAUCACUGGGCGUAAAGGGCGCGUAGGCGGCUCGGCACGUCCGUUGUGAAAUCGCUCGGCUCAACUGGGCGGGGUCAGCGGAUACGGCGUAGCUGGAGCAAGCUAGGGGGCAAUGGAAUUCCCGGUGUAGUGGUGGAAUGCGUAGAUAUCGGGAGGAACACCAGUGGCGAAGGCGGUUGCCUGGAGCUUUGCUGACGCUGAGGCGCGAAAGCGUGGGGAGCGAUCCGG
Molecule: ribosomal RNA, 253 nt
Filed under: uncultured bacterium
Lineage: Bacteria
Description: partial 16S ribosomal RNA
Rfam family: Bacterial small subunit ribosomal RNA
Source: RNAcentral